GUCCAGGUGGCGCAAUGCAGAGUCCUUCAGGUUAUCAGAUCUGAAGACCAGGGUUCGAGUCCCUGCAAGGGACA
Non-coding RNA from Merluccius polli (Benguela hake), 74 nucleotides. Lineage: Eukaryota; Metazoa; Chordata; Actinopteri; Gadiformes; Merlucciidae. The record is from the annotation of a GenBank genome assembly.